GGGGACGUUUAGGAUUCGACAGGGAUAGGUCGUGCUUAUGUUGCGAGUCGAGGGGGUCGGCCUCGUUAAAACGCCAAAGCCUAUAACUGGCAAAGAAAACAACAACUUCGCAGUAGCUGCCUAAUAGCACUCUGCGGUUCCACCCUCCAUCGCCCAUGUGGUAGGUACUGGAACUCACUCUAAGUGGGCUACGCCGGCUGCUCUCCGUCUGUGAGCGAAGGAAGAGAUUGAUCAGACUAGCCGUUCGGACGCCUGUUACUGGGCAGAAGAAUUGGCGAAAUGCUAAUACAGUAACUACACUCGUAGAAGCAUAAGUGUCGUUGUUUCUGGACGUGGGUUCGAUUAUGGAAAUAGUCGCCUCAUGUGGUGACGCAUGAGUGAUAACUUGGCUUUAUCGGUGAAGUCUACGUCAUGACGAAUACGUUAUGAUAAGGUGAUGCCGAGCGGUAUGUGGAGCAAUCCAACAGCCGUGUAUCGACUUAUAGGCUGCCUACAAGGUAGUACUAGGAUGGAGCAUUCUGCAAUAGAUUGCACAAAAUACAUGUUCCAUAAUACGCCAAGGGACUUGUUGAUCAAGUUCAAGAUAUAGUCAGUGCCAUUGCGAAAGCAUGGAAUUACAUGUCCCACCGUCUCCACCA
Molecule: transfer-messenger RNA, 638 nt
Filed under: Alkalihalophilus pseudofirmus
Lineage: Bacteria; Bacillati; Bacillota; Bacilli; Caryophanales; Bacillaceae
Also listed under: 1 other name
Description: Intron(7) tmRNA
Rfam family: transfer-messenger RNA (bases 9-345)
About the family: Bacterial tmRNA, also known as 10Sa RNA or SsrA, is named for its dual tRNA and mRNA-like properties. Its role is to liberate the mRNA from a stalled ribosome.
Source: RNAcentral